CAGAAGCCUCGGAAAAAAUCCUUUUACUUUUUGUUACAAAAAGUAAGAUAUAGCCAAUAGCGGGAAAUAGC
Molecule: unclassified non-coding RNA, 71 nt
Filed under: Flavobacterium xanthum
Lineage: Bacteria; Pseudomonadati; Bacteroidota; Flavobacteriia; Flavobacteriales; Flavobacteriaceae
Description: Flavo-1 RNA
Source: RNAcentral